Molecule: long non-coding RNA, 1780 nt
Organism: Trifolium pratense (red clover)
Lineage: Eukaryota; Viridiplantae; Streptophyta; Magnoliopsida; Fabales; Fabaceae
Exons: 3
Source: RefSeq, a predicted model, not a curated record
ACCCUGGUUUGAAAUGCCAUCCAGACAUAUUAGAAGCUUGAUGUAAAGCAUCCCUCCAUUUCUGAACCUUUUUCUUCUCGCCUCUAAACCUCACCUCAUGUUUUGCAAAAGCUUCACCAUAAGUACCAGUUAUGUUUCUAAUAUGAGAUGGAUCCACAUCAUAAAAAACCGGCAAAAAUAACCUUCCCUGUGACUUGGAACACUCAAGGAUGGUAACAAGUUCAGUCAAACAAAACGUUGAAGAUGCAUAGUUAGGGGAGAAAAUAGCAAUGAAAAUCCUAGACUCUUUAAUGGCUUGAAGAAGAGUAGGUGUGAUUUGUUCUCCUUUCUGAAUUUGUUCAUCAUCAAUGAAAGUUUGUAUACCUCUUUGAUGCUGAAGAUAAUUGUAGAGAUUACCAGUGAAAUUGUUUCUAGUAUUUAUGCCUCUAAAGCUGAGAAAAACAUCAUAAGUCCAAUCACAUGUGAAAGAAGACAAAGAAGAAGAAGAAAUCAACAAGCAGUUGUGGGAUGGCAUAAAGGAAAUUAUAGAGAAAUGAAGAGGAAGCUUCCUUGUGGAAAAUAAUGUGGUAUUGGCUUGGAACCUGAGACUCUGAGAGUGUGUUUCUCCUUAAGCUUUCAAGUUCGAUUCUCUCUAGUGUUAAUUUGGGUGGGUUAAUUUAGCUUUUUAAAAAAAUUAAUAUUAAGUAUUAGGUUAUUAGUACGUAUUAUAUUAUUGUGGAUUGUAUUUCUUUUUGUUGGUUACCACCACAAAGCAUUUUGCAGCAAUCCGACCUGCCUCUGUGUAUUCAUUUUCGUCGUUGCAAACAUCCCGCCAACUGUUUGAUGAAAAACCACAGUGACACAACUCUGUUUGGGUACCUAUCUCUACUGCUAGUGCUGCUAUUCUAUUCCGGAUUUCAAAGCCUACUAAUGCUUAUGUUUAAGGUACAAUGUUUGGGUUGGGAACCUUAUUUGCUGAGUUGACUAUUGAUAUUACAAUGGUAGGAGUUGGCGAGUUGCUAUUGGCCAAAGUUUGUAGGAAGUUGAUUAUGCAGUAUUCUUUAGGGAUGGAGAGCACUUCCAAAAGGUUUAUGUUCUCAUCAUUUGUCCUCCUCAUGACCCUUGGUAUGUAUUUAUGUGAAUUCUAUUUUAGAUUUUCUUGAUAAUUGGGUCUAUGAGAGUUCUGAUUUAGUGUCUUUUACUUGGUUCAAUCUUGUGCAUAGUGAAAUUCAGUCUUCUAAAAAUUAUGGUUGUAAGAGCCACAAUCAUGGAUUUGGUCUAUGUUGUCAUAGUUGGAUUAAUUUUGAUGUGGUAAGACUUUUUGUGACUUUUGACAAGUCUGCAAUUUUUUGGAUACCAUUGAAUUCUAUUUCACAUGACAACAUUUAAGUUGAAUCUAUGUAUAGCCAAUUACAUGUAGAACCGAUGAGAGGCUAUUAUUUUGAAGCUACUUAUCAUAGGAACAAUUCUGACAUUGAUAAAAAAGGAUCUUCACAGUUGAAUUGUGUCAGUUUCCUAGUUCUAUCUUGUUCUUUGCAAAUCAAGAGGAUGGUCAAAUCUAUCUUGUACAAAAUCAUGUUUAUGAGAGUUGAAGUUUUGAAUGCUCUUUGACUAGAGUAUCAACUCAUCAAAUUGUGAAGGUAGCUCAACAUUCUCGCAGUGAAGGGUUGAUAGAUGCAUCACAUAUUAAGCUCAUUUUUGAGUUGAUGCUUUUAUCUUUGAGAUGUUGUGCUUUGAUUUUGGAAUCACAAGGGCUAUCUCCAACAAAGUCAUUCAAUCAGGUUGUUUCACAGCUACAAAU